This 406-nucleotide ribosomal RNA is filed under the name uncultured bacterium. RNAcentral's name for it is "partial 16S ribosomal RNA". It matches the Rfam family "Bacterial small subunit ribosomal RNA", at positions 30 to 526 of the family's 1533-position model. The record is from RNAcentral.
AUUGAACGCUGGCGGCAGGCCUAACACAUGCAAGUCGAGCGAGCGGCGGACGGGUGAGUAAUGUAUGGGGAUCUGCCCGUUAGAGGGGGAUAACUACUGGAAACGGUAACUAAUACCGCAUCCUAUCGAGUGAACCCAUAUGGGGUUAGCUAGUAGGUGAGGGAAUGGCUCACCUAGGCGACGAUCCCUAGCUGGUCUGAGAGGAUGACCAGCCACACUGGAACUGAGACACGGUCCAGACUCCUACGGGAGGCAGCAGUGGGGAAUAUUGCACAAUGGGCGCAAGCCUGAUGCAGCCAUGCCGCGUGUAUGAAGAAGGCCUUCGGGUUGUAAAGUACUUUCAGCGAGGAGGCGUUACUCGCAGAAGAAGCACCGGCUAACUCCGUGCCAGCAGCCGCGGUAAUAC